AACGAACGCUGGCGGCAGGCUUAACACAUGCAAGUCGAACGGGCGUAGCAAUACGUCAGUGGCGGACGGGUGAGUAACACGUGGGAAUGUGCCUUUCGGUUCGGAACAACUCGGGGAAACUCGUGCUAAUUCCGGAUACGCCCUUACGGGGAAAGAUUUAUCGCCGAAAGAUCAGCCCGCGUCCGAUUAGCUAGUUGGUGAGGUAAAGGCUCACCAAGGCACCGAUCGGUAGCUGGUUUGAGAGAACGACCAGCCACACUGGGACUGAGACACGGCCCAGACUCCUACGGGAGGCAGCAGUGGGGAAUCUUGGACAAUGGGCGCAAGCCUGAUCCAGCCAUGCCGCGUGAGUGAUGAAGGCCUUCGGGUU
RNAcentral lists this ribosomal RNA (370 nucleotides) under uncultured bacterium. Its description in RNAcentral is "bacterial SSU rRNA". It matches the Rfam family "Bacterial small subunit ribosomal RNA", at positions 29 to 424 of the family's 1533-position model. The record is from RNAcentral.